This 298-nucleotide ribosomal RNA is filed under the name uncultured Staphylococcus sp. Its description in RNAcentral is "partial 16S ribosomal RNA". It matches the Rfam family "Bacterial small subunit ribosomal RNA", at positions 505 to 802 of the family's 1533-position model. Lineage: Bacteria; Bacillati; Bacillota; Bacilli; Caryophanales; Staphylococcaceae. The record is from RNAcentral.
GUGCCAGCAGCCGCGGUAAUACGUAGGUGGCAAGCGUUAUCCGGAAUUAUUGGGCGUAAAGCGCGCGUAGGCGGUUUUUUAAGUCUGAUGUGAAAGCCCACGGCUCAACCGUGGAGGGUCAUUGGAAACUGGAAAACUUGAGUGCAGAAGAGGAAAGUGGAAUUCCAUGUGUAGCGGUGAAAUGCGCAGAGAUAUGGAGGAACGCCAGUGGCGAAGGCGACUUUCUGGUCUGUAACUGACGCUGAUGUGCGAAAGCGUGGGGAUCAAACAGGAUUAGAUACCCUGGUAGUCAAGGGCG